Molecule: ribosomal RNA, 163 nt
Filed under: uncultured bacterium
Lineage: Bacteria
Description: partial 16S rRNA
Rfam family: Bacterial small subunit ribosomal RNA
Source: RNAcentral
UGGGAAUCUUCCACAAUGGACGCAAGUCUGAUGGAGCAACGCCGCGUGAGUGAAGAAGGGUUUCGGCUCGUAAAGCUCUGUUGUUAAAGAAGAACGUGGGUAAGAGUAACUGUUUACCCAGUGACGGUAUUUAACCAGAAAGCCACGGCUAACUACGUGUCAG